ACAACUCAUUAAUUCAAUGUUCAAUCAAAUAAAGAAAGAAAGAAAAAAAAAGACUCAUUAAUUCAUUGCUUAACUGUUACAGUUUGACACUCACUUGCGAAGACAUGUGUCAAUUGGUCACCACAUGCAUAUUUUUUGCAUCUUACUCUAACCAUAAAAAAAAUGCAACCAUUAAUGUGCAACUUACUACUAUUAUGUCAAAAGUAACAGAUCUAUACAAAAACAUUAGUACUAGUAAUGGGGUUGACAAU
RNAcentral lists this long non-coding RNA (251 nucleotides) under Trifolium pratense (red clover). RNAcentral describes it as "long non-coding RNA (TPRA_LNC003370)". The record is from RNAcentral. Lineage: Eukaryota; Viridiplantae; Streptophyta; Magnoliopsida; Fabales; Fabaceae.